UCCUUCUUAUCCCUGCAAGUCCUCUGUAACAACUCUGUGCAUGUGUGAUAGUUCAGUACGAGGAAUUUUUCAUAUGUGCAGUUCUGGUAAGUUACGUAGCACGACUUUUCUUAGGCCGGGAAGCAUCUCAUUCUCACGAACAGCAUGCUUUUCGGCUCUGAGGUUAGCGCUUCACAUGAUCUUACAUCGAGUUCUUCAAGCUCAUCGAACCUUUGCAGCAAGUUGAAUGAAUCAAAAACAUUUGACAGUUUUGGACACUUGUAAAUCAUCAAAUACUUGAGCUUCUAUAAAGGCAAUGACAUUUCAAGAGCAGUGCACCAUGGAAUAAGCUAGAAUUUGAAGGUUUCCAAACUCUGAAUUUCUAGUUUUUCCAGGUGCGACAAGCAAUUUGCUCAGCUCAACGACGGGUUUCCAGUACUCUCCUCGAGAGAUCUAGACCACCUCUAUCUAACAAUAAGUUCAGAAGAACAAUCCUUAAGCCCUUGAAUGAUAUAAAAGAUGCAUCAUCCGUUCUCUUCAGCAAUGGCUUGAAAUAAGCUAGCGAGGGAAUUACGAGCAUUUUUUUUCCCGUUCAGAUGAUUUGUUCCUCCAAAAAAACGAACCCUACAUAUAUUUUGAAACAUUAAUAUAAAUCAUAUACGAGGUCUCAUCUAACAAUUUUUUUUUUUCUUAGACGGUUCUUUGACUGUACCAGAGCCUUAAUGACUAUCCACUCUCCGGUUCUCUCUUCUCAUUAAAAUUUAUGGGCAAGCAAAAUAUGCCAAACCCAAGACUCAACUGAAGACUAGCCGGGGAGAAGAAGGGGUAGCUCAGCCGCAGCU
Molecule: long non-coding RNA, 821 nt
Filed under: Populus tremula
Lineage: Eukaryota; Viridiplantae; Streptophyta; Magnoliopsida; Malpighiales; Salicaceae
Description: long non-coding RNA (PTRE_LNC002459)
Source: RNAcentral